This 866-nucleotide long non-coding RNA is filed under the name Anser brachyrhynchus (Pink-footed goose). RNAcentral's name for it is "lncRNA (ENSABRG00000016519.1)". The record is from RNAcentral. Lineage: Eukaryota; Metazoa; Chordata; Aves; Anseriformes; Anatidae.
UGCCUGGUGAUCUUGGCUCCGUUCAGUGAAAUUAUUCUUUCCGAGGGUGGGGAGAGAAGGAGAGCUAAAGGGCCUCUGCUCCCCUGUGGCAGAAGUGUUAGUAGCCACUGAGCAGGGCCUGCAGGCUCAGGGAGGUGUGUUAGCCAGAUCUAUGACAUUCAUUGACCAGUUAGUGGUUUUUUUUCCUAGGGGAGCACAAACGUGUUAACACGAUCAGGAAGGUUUAAUCUCCAGACUAACUAGUCCUCAAAAAAGGCUUAGUGCAUCCUCAGCACAAUGUAGCACUUAAUGGCACGUAUGUAAUUAUGUUUUAUAAAGAUUUUAUAAGAAUGGUCUAAAUAAUAUUAAUGACGUGUGAAUAUAGGUGGCAAGACUAGAUUUAUGUUUCAGGCAAUUACAUUUUACAAGCUGAAGUAGAGAACAGAGGAGAAGAUAUUUCUCAUGCUGAGCUACAGGAAGUUGAUGCUGAAAUGCAAUAACAGCAGAUGUUACUGGGAUGCAGUCAUAAAAUGGAGGCAAACGGGCUCUUUGUGACCAGCUCAGGCCACAGCACCGGCGUAUUUCCAGAUGGUGCAGAUGCUAUUUAUAAAGCAUUGCGCAGGGGAUCUGUUACGGGGUGCUUUACAGCCACACUUUGCAGAAGGACACGUCUGCUGUCUCAUCCAUUGAGAAAGACUCUUCCAGAGCAAAAGAGCCACAGGUCAGUGCUGCUGCUCUCAGGGGCAUGCGGUAAGAUAUCCUGUGACUGUAGCGAGGACAAAGGGAGUUGUAAAGAGCAGUUAGGAGAAAAAGCCUCCCUGAUCUGCCCAGUGUCCUGCUUCUCUCUUCGGGAUGGAAUGACAAGUUUCUGUCUGGAUUUUCUCUAG